RNAcentral lists this transfer RNA (76 nucleotides) under bacterium. Its description in RNAcentral is "tRNA-Lys". It matches the Rfam family "tRNA". From Rfam's summary of the family: Transfer RNA (tRNA) molecules are approximately 80 nucleotides in length. Their secondary structure includes four short double-helical elements and three loops (D, anti-codon, and T loops). Further hydrogen bonds mediate the characteristic L-shaped molecular structure. tRNAs have two regions of fundamental functional importance: the anti-codon, which is responsible for specific mRNA codon recognition, and the 3' end, to which the tRNAs corresponding amino acid is attached (by aminoacyl-tRNA synthetases). tRNAs cope with the degeneracy of the genetic code in two manners: having more than one tRNA (with a specific anti-codon) for a particular amino acid; and 'wobble' base-pairing, i.e. permitting non-standard base-pairing at the 3rd anti-codon position. The record is from RNAcentral.
GAGGGCGUAGCUCAGGAGGCAGAGCAGCGGCCUUUUAAGCCGUUGGUCGUGGGUUCGAAUCCCGCCGCCCUCACGA